GAAGCUUCUCCUGCCUGCCCGGACCCGAUUGCCCGCCGUCGUCGCAACGUUGAGCUGCGUAUAAUUAGCAGGCGCAGCGCGACGGGGCAACAGCCGACACCGAGGAAUAGACAAGAGGACACGCUGUCGUCCUCUUCCCCCCCUCCCUUCCAUUCCAUGCCUUCGGCCAUCAUCAGCGACCCCGACCCAAGGAUAUAGGCCCUCCCCUCGUCGCGUUGCGUGCUCCGCUCGGUUUCUGGGUUUUUGGCCGGAGGCUGGGGGGAUCUUGAUUCCUUCCGAGCUGCGUCGCCGUUGCUGGGAGCUGCGUCAAGGAAUCGGGGGUCGCCCCGCCCCCGCCGCGGCGUGGAACUCGAUCCCCGAGGAGCUGUACCUGGAGACUUCCAGUCCUGUGCUACCUACAAAAUGUCAGUGCGCCGUCGGUCAGCAAGCAUGGAAGGGCUGCUCACGCUUGAUGACAGGAAAGAACGGAGAUCAGAUGUGGACAACUCAGAGGACGAGCGAAGGCGGCUAUCUAUCGGGUCGCUGAAGAAAAAGGCACUGAAUGCAUCAAACAAGCUCACACAUUCACUCAAGAAGAGGGGAAAAAGAAAGGUGGAGCAUCGGGCAUCAUCCUUCACAAUUGAAGAUGUCAGGGAUGAGCAAGAGGAGCGAGCCGUCUUUACCUUCCAGCAAGAACUUCUGAACAGGAACUUGCUGCCUGACAAGCAUAAUGAUUAUCACUUGUUGCUGAGGUUUUUGAAGGCUAGAAAAUUUGACACUGAGAAAGCGAUCCAUAUGUGGGCUGAGAUGCUCCAGUGGAGGAAAGAGUUUGGAGCAGAUACAAUACUAGAGGACUUCAGUUUUGAAGAGCUAGAUGAUGUGCUAUGCUAUUAUCCUCAGGGCUACCAUGGAGUUGACAGGCAGGGAAGACCAGUAUACAUUGAGAGAUUAGGGAAAGUGGAACCAAAUAAAUUGAUGCACAUUACUACGGUUGAUCGCUACAUGAAGUAUCAUGUGCAAGAGUUUGAGAGAGCCUUCAGGGACAAGUUUCCUGCAUGCUCUAUUGCAGCAAAAAGACAUAUCGAUUCUACAACUACUAUACUAGAUGUCGAUGGUGUGGGUCUCAAGAACUUCAGCAAAACAGCAAGAGAUAUGUUAAGUAGAAUGCAGAAGAUUGACAGUGACUAUUAUCCAGAGACUCUGCAUCAGAUGUUCGUUGUGAAUGCUGGUAGCGGUUUCAAGCUCCUAUGGAAUUCUGUGAAAGGCUUUCUUGACCCUAAAACUGCUUCGAAGAUACAUGUUUUGGGAACAAAGUUUCAGAACAAACUUCUGGAAGUAAUAGAUGCAAGCCAACUUCCUGAAUUCUUGGGGGGGACAUGCACUUGUGCUACUGUGGGAGGAUGCCUGAGGUCUAACAAAGGUCCAUGGAAUGACCCAGAUAUUAUGAAGCUUGCACAUAACAAGGAAGCAAAAUUUACAAGGCAUACCAGGCGUUUAUCCGAGAUUGAGCAAAGGAGGAGUUCAUUUGCUAGGUUACAUCUUUUGAAGGGUAGAAACAGUGACACGUCAACUGUGGAGUCGGGAUCUGAAAUUGAAGAUCUUGGUUCUCCAAUGAUGAGAAGCACAGUGGGGUGUAGUCGAUUGGCCCCAGUUCAUGAAGAGAUGCAGAUGAGAGCUCGAGACUCUGCAGCUUAUUACAGCUGUGACGAUCACUUUGUUGUGGUGGACAAAACAGUUGACUAUGGUCGAGGAGGAUCAAUGUCACAUAAAACCAGUGCUUCAGAAGUAAAAACUCAAGUUCGACCACUGGAUGCUAGCACAGCAGCACAUAUGGCUGGUCCCUCAAGUAACAGACGAGGUACAGUAGUACCUAAAGAGGUUUCAGAUGAAGGAGCAUUCCAUCGCUUUAUCAGGCUACUUCUGGCUUUUAUUGUGAAAGUCUUCGCCUUCUUUCACAUAGUAUAUAGUCAGCAGGAGACGAGGGUCAACAACCCACUACCUCUAGCCGAACCAGAACCGAUUUCUGACGAGCAUCCGGCAGUAGAGACUUUCAAUGUAGACCACAUCAGUCCUGUCAUAGAGCGCCUUCAGAGACUUGAAGGGAAGGUCGAUGAGCUUGGCAGCAAGCCCCCAGCGAUUCCUAUGGAGAAAGAACGAUCCCUCUUGGAUUCAUGGAAUAGGAUAAAAUGUAUUGAAUCUGACCUGGAGCGAACAAAGAAGGUGCUGCAAGCCACGGUGAUGAAGCAAUUGGAAAUCGCCGAGUCGCUAGAGGAAGUGAUUAGAUCAAACCUACGUAGACGAAGAUUCUGUGCGUAAUAAGGAAUCAGCACUGCUGAAGUAACAACAUACUUUAUCAUGGGGUUGAUUGAAGUCAAGGGUACAUGUGGCGGAGAAAAGUAUGCACAAGAGAUUUCGAUGGGUGAUGUUAAGGCCGUCCAGUCAGUUUUCACAUUACUGGCACAAUAGAUGGUGACCACGGAUAGUGAAAAAAUCGGUCCCCUUUUUCAUAUUGUUCCCUUGUGACCCUAAGAAACCCAUGCAUUUUUCAUGCUAACAGAUGAUGUUAGGAUGGAUGGCAAGGGCUAGAAAAAAUAGAAGAGAUAGAAAUGUGGAAAGAUGGUGGUACAGAUAUGAGGCACAGCGUGCCUGAACAAGUGCGCAUCUGGUGAUAUAAACGAAGGGACGUGUCAGGGCGACUCAAUCUGGAGAAGCGCGGGAACGAUGAAGCGGAGCGCGCGAAGGAGCGUUAUCAGGAUGGGCUCGGAAGCAAUUGUAGGCCCAGGUCCAAGAACCCUAACGCCACUGUAUUUCGGCUAAAACUGAAGGAGCUGUCCUCCCUAUACUCCUCUCUUGUGGACACGGCACCUCCUAUCGCUCGCUUGUGCACGCGAGGUGGUGCUAUUGUGCUGCAGUUUUAUUGAUCACUGUGGGCUGCAGUGGGCCGCUGGUCAGCAGCUCCACAACGCGCACAACAGGAAAAGGCCUAUGCUCUGUGCGCCCAGGCUGGCCAUGCAUGCUAGGAAUGCUAGCCUGUGCUCCAUAAAUAUUGUACGUUUCAUAUUAUUCUUCUCAUUUUUAUUCCCCUUGUUGAUGUGCGAUGAUGUGUACAAAGUUAUGAUUAAACCGGGUUUAAAAAGUUUGUGGAAACAUUUGAGAGCUACUCAGCUCGCUGGAAAGGA
Sorghum bicolor (sorghum) is the source of this 3158-nucleotide RNA transcript. It is a transcript of the gene named phosphatidylinositol/phosphatidylcholine transfer protein SFH13, with no coding region annotated. Lineage: Eukaryota; Viridiplantae; Streptophyta; Magnoliopsida; Poales; Poaceae. The record is from RefSeq and is a predicted model, not a curated record. The transcript is spliced from 16 exons.